GGACAGAGCCCGUGAAUCCGGGCGCGCGGAAUUCAGGACCGACGGGGCGGACGUUUUCGGACGUUCGCCGCGUCGAUUCGAUAUUUCCGUCGCCGACCCUCUUUACCGAGGGUGUCGGACGUCGCGACCCGUUCGCCGAGUCGAUGCUCAGGGACGCGUAUUCGGUUCGCCAGCGCGGCCGUUUCGGCGGUCGCGCGACGACCACGCGUUUCCGUUGUUUUCGACGCGGACGGUAGCUUUGCGCGCGGGUACUCGACGCGGCCCGUUCGUUCGGCGUCUCGUGCGUCGGACGGCGCUCGCGUCGACGCCGGUCAGCGACGA
RNAcentral lists this ribosomal RNA (321 nucleotides) under Ceroplastes rubens. Its description in RNAcentral is "partial 28S ribosomal RNA". The record is from RNAcentral. Lineage: Eukaryota; Metazoa; Arthropoda; Insecta; Hemiptera; Coccidae.